Non-coding RNA from Annulohypoxylon truncatum, 116 nucleotides. The record is from the annotation of a RefSeq genome assembly. NCBI's taxonomy places the organism in Eukaryota, Fungi, Ascomycota, Sordariomycetes, Xylariales, Hypoxylaceae.
UCCGAAUUGGUGUAGUGGCUAACAUUUGGUGCUCUCAUGGAAUGGAAUUAGUAUUCUCGAUAAUACUAAAUCAAACGUGAUCCGCCAAGCCCGGGGUUCGAUUCCCCGAUUCGGAG